GGCGGGACAUCGCCGCGGCCGGUGAUAGGCUGAAGGUGGCUCUGUGACGUCCCAAAACCGGGAAGCAGCGAUAAUAGCGGAGGGACCAUGAGGCCAGUGCCUUAGCAACGGGGGAACGGAGGACGAAGGUACGAUUUUUGGCAAAAGUUGUGGAAAUCAUCAUUUUUCAUUUAUAGUAGAAGAUGACCAUCAGCCACACAAACAGGUCAUUCACAGACUACAGACGGACAUCAUGGAAUACAAAGGUUUUGGAGCUCCUGCCAAACUCUUCAGAAUGGAUGAAAUGGCCCCACACUGGUGUCCAGUCUAGUAGUAGCAGUGACUGAUGAAUGUAGCGAAAGAAUGAGGCCGGCAGAACUCAACGGAGGCUGAAGGAUCUGGGAAAGACAAAGAUGAUAAGAAUGAACAACUAGUCCUAAACAGAGCCCGGGGAGUAGUCAAGAAGAAAGAUACAGUAGUCUUUUAAAGUAGACUUGAAUAAUGUAUAAUAUAGUGAAUGCGCUUUGUAAAUAUAUUUUUAUACUCUCAAUGAAAGUUAAAUCGGAAAGUCAAAGCCAAGUGCUUUUCCCACCUUCUGGUUGGUUUUGUUGAGGCGCCUGUAGUCAGGACUAAGUGUCACAGCACAGGACUGCAGAAGGAAGAGCUGGGAGGAUUCCCAUAUUGUCUACUGGAUUAGAAUCGUAUGAUUAAAAGGAACUCCAGUGGAUAACUGUGUAAAUAUAAAAACCUUCAGGGCAUCUGGGAGGUUGUAAUGUCACAAUCACAAUAUGUGAAUAAUACUUACAGUGAUGUCAUAGUACAGGGAUAAUGCAGUAAUGUCACAAUAUGUGAAUAAUACUUACUGUGAUAUUAUAGUACAGGGAUAAUGCAGUAAUGUCACAAUAUAUAAAUAAUACUUACAGUGAUGUCAUAGUACAGGGAUAAUGCAGUAAUGUCACAAUAUAUGAAUACUGUAAUACUUACUGUGAUAUUAUAGUACAGGGAUAAUGCAGUAAUGUCACAAUAUAUAAAUAAUACUUACAGUGAUGUCAUA
Hyla sarda is the source of this 1033-nucleotide long non-coding RNA. RefSeq lists it as uncharacterized. The record is from RefSeq and is a predicted model, not a curated record. NCBI's taxonomy places the organism in Eukaryota, Metazoa, Chordata, Amphibia, Anura, Hylidae. The transcript has 3 exons.